This 319-nucleotide small nuclear RNA is filed under the name Jaculus jaculus (lesser Egyptian jerboa). Its description in RNAcentral is "7SK RNA (ENSJJAG00000003484.1)". It matches the Rfam family "7SK RNA". From Rfam's summary of the family: 7SK was discovered as an abundant small nuclear RNA in the mid-70s but a possible function has only recently been suggested. Two independent studies have found that 7SK RNA binds the CDK9/cyclin T complex (known as elongation factor P-TEFb). Lineage: Eukaryota; Metazoa; Chordata; Mammalia; Rodentia; Dipodidae. The record is from Rfam by way of RNAcentral.
GGAUGUGAGGGUGAUCUAGCUGUGACAUCUGUCAACCCAUUGAUCACCAAGGGUUGAUUCAACUGAUCUGGCUGGCUCGAUGGGUGUCCCCUUCCUCCCUCGCCACUCCAUGUGUGGUCCCUCCCAAAUCUGUGUGCUGGUGGAACAGGACGACCUUCCCCAAAUAGAGAAGGAAGGGUCUUCAGUCAAGGGCACGUGAGUAGCUGUGCUCCCCUGCUAGAACCUCCAAACAAGCUCACAGAUGAACUUGGGAAGGGCCCCAAGUGGCAAGGAAGCUUUGCCUGGUUAAUCAUCCCAAUGGGAACAAGGUUCUCACUUU